CUAGAAACAAGUCAUUUUUUAUUUUGAAAUUUUGCUGUAUUAAAACCAUCAAAAUAACUUAAACAAUGACAGAAUAUUUUUAUUUGUUUAACAAUAAAGUCUAUGGUUAAAGGACUUGUAUAAAUCAUUAAGACAGGUAGUUUAAUUUCAUUUAUGCAGGAAGUUAUGAGCUAUAUUAGGAUGUAUCAAAAACAAGUACUUCCUAAAGGUGUAAGAAAAAGAUGCCUUGAGAGCAUCUCAAAAAUCAAUAAGAACCUAACCAUCAAAGUUGAAAAGGGUGAACAAGCAUAAUACAUUUAUUUUAGAAGAUAAUGCAUGAUAGAAUUGCUUGGGAUAGCUCAAGAGAGGUUUACCACAUUUUGGGGGUGUCUGAGUGGGUAGUGGAGAGGAAGCAUGGCUGUGGGGACUGUGUGAGGUCUCUGGCCCCUUCCUCUAUGAGUCUUUUCUCCUGCUCUGAUUUCUGGUCAUUAUGGACUCAGGAACUUCAUUGUGCAAUAUUCUUCUGCCAUCAUGCUUGUGUCUUUGAGUAAAUUGGGCACAGAUUGUAAACAUGAAUUAAAUCAAAAUUCUCCUUUCAGUCUUGGAUAUAUAAUAUUGUGUACUAGAAGAAGAGAGCUGAUAAAUACAGAAAAAUUGGAGCAAAAGAGGCAAUCUUUUUGUGAUUCUACCUAGUGAAGUUGUCUGAAAACUUUUGGAACUGGCUUAUGGAAGGAAAUUGGAAAGCAUUGGAAACACAGAUUGUAGAUGUACUAAAAUGCUAUAAGCAAAACUUCAGGGGUGAGUCUAGUGGGAGCUCAGAUCAUACUGAUGAUGGGAAUGCAGAGAUGAAAAGCCAGGCUAUUUAAGUUCCAAGUGUGAAUGAACUAUACUGGGAAAUGGACUAGAGACCAUGAGCUGAUGUUCUGGAUAAGAUGCUGUUUCCAAUUUGUCCAACCAAUAAGACUUUUUUUAAAAACUGCGAUAAAGGAUAAUACACUAAUUAUUCUAGCAAAGGAAAUUGUAAAGCUGUCUAACUUCAGAGUACCCUUUAGUCUUUGUUGGCUGAUUUACCAAAUUUUCAAGAGAAUCAGGGGCAAGAAAAACAAAACAAAACAAAAUCUUAUUAAGAGAUUAUCAUCUUUAAAAAGAAAACAAGGGGCUGGGGGUUUAACUCAGCAGCAUAAGCACCAGCCUUGCAAGCAGGCGGUCCUGAGUUCGAUCCCUGGUACCGAUAAAAAAAUGAAAAGACAAAAAAAAAAAAAAAAAAAAAGAAAGAAAACAAGUACUUUCUAAAGGCAUAAAAAAAGAAGACUUGAGAGCAUCCCAAAAACCAGUAAAGCCCUAACCAUCAAAGUAGAAAAGGUUGAACAAGAAUAAUACAUUUAUUUUAGAAGAUAACGUAUGGUAGAAUUGCUUGGGAAAGUACACUAUUAAUAAUGUUUCCCAAGAUUUAUUUUGAUGUUGUCAGUUAUCCAGAUUCUGAGAGUUCAUUGCAGUCAAGGUUUAAAGGUGUCCAGUUACUGCUCAAUUUGAGAGCAGAUCUUGGCAUCAUCCACCUGAUGCUGUUUUUUUUUUUUUUUUACCAAUAUGCACAAAUGAAGAGUUGUGGAAUUAGGAAGAUGUCUACCUAGAUUUUAGAAUAGGGCUGAGGAGGCCAAGCAAGGAUCUCCUAUGAGAGCAAUCUGUAAAGCUGUGGGAAUAAAGCAGAGAACAAGGCAGAAAGUCAGGGAUGCCAGAAAUAUGAACCAUCUAGUAAGGAAAACUAGAGGUCUGGAGUGGACACUGCUCAAGACAGAGACCAAGUGAACUGCAACUAACAAAGCCCUAGUAUUAGGGCUACGUAGGCACUCUGGAACUCAAAUUUCAUCCUUGUUUGCCUUCAGUGCCAGCUAUGAUGCUAUAGAACUGAAUAGUUGCCCUGUUGGAUAUUGCUUAUUGUCUUGGUUGUUUUAUCAUUGCUGGGAUAAAAUGCCCAAUGCCCAAAAUUUAAGGAAAGAAAAGUUUGCUGAACUCACAGUGUGUGGAAGUUUCAGUACAUAAUCAGCUGGCUCCAAGACAAAGUGAUGUGACACAGGCAACACUUCAAGGCAGGAGAAGACAGAAAAGGCAACAAUAGCAAAAGAUGGAUACAAGCCUCUUUUCUUCCUUAUAUUGUAUGCAGGCUGUGCCCUGAGUUGAGUGUAGCACUCACAUCAUCUCUGCACCCUUCUCAUGUGCAGGCUCACAUGAGGACCUUGGGCCCAUCCUGAAUCACUUAGUUAAACUGCUAAACUUCUCAAAUUGACACAAUGAGCAAUACCCUAGAGUCCUGAGAACAUGCCCUCUGUACACUAGAGUAGAACAGCUAGUUAUUUAGUUAAGCUUCUAGACUUCUCCAGUUGACACAGUAUAUUAACCAUUCCAAUCAUGCUUUAACUUGAUUUGAUUCUAGUCACCUUUUCACUACAUAUGGAAGAAGAAUGUUACCCCUGCACCAGUCUCCUUUAGGAUUGCAUUACUCCUUUUUGAUUUUCACAGAAAUAUAAAACUAGCAUUGACUAGAUUUGGACUUGGACUUUUGAAAAAUUCUGGAAUUGUUGAGAUUUGGGGGGAAAGUUGUUGCAUUCCAGCUGUACACAGAAUAUUUGUUAUUAUGUAAGACAAAAUUACGAACUUUCUAUUGUUUUCAUUUGGAAAAUAAAUGUGAUUUAAGGAGAUGUGUUUUGAUGUGAUUUUGACAAGGACUAGGAUAUGAUAGCUAUGGUAGAGUGUCAACCUCAUUAACUUUGAGAUCUGAUAAGUUUUAGUUAUGUACACUUCUUGUUGUGUCUGGGUGAGACGUUAACUUGGAUCUAUGUCCAUUCCCUCAUUCUUCCUCUCUGUCACUGUUCUCUUGCUCUGCAUCCUGGCCACAAAUAUUGUCUGACUGCCUUUGCUGCAUCAUGCCAUUCUACCAUGAUUAAAAAGCAGAAAUGCCGCUUUGGAGUUGGCUAACCAUGGACUGAGUCUCCUUAAAAUAUGAGCUGAAUUAAACCUUCUGUUUUCCUUUAAUUUGUGGGUGUCCACUAUUGUUUCUAACAACUUGAAUGCUCACUAAUAUAUCCUCCUUUUGACAAUUGGACAAACCAGAUAUAGAAGUUGGUUUGAUGGGUCAAACAGAUCAACAAAUCAGUUCUCUGUUCUCAUAGUUUAACUUUAUUUCAGUUUUUAAAUAUAUCUCUGGUGAACUGUAAAUCAGGAAAAAUAUGGUAAAAGUAGGACACACUACAGAAAAAAUAUUAACAUUGUAUAUUAACUAAUAUCUGACCAGAUAUUAUACAGCUGAGCCAUUAAUUAGUCAUACACUGGUCAUGAAUCCAAAGAAGAUGUUUACAAUGAUUCACACCCUUAACAUGAUAAAUUUUACUAUUAUCUAAUAAAUGAAACUUUUUUUAAAUGAAACAAUUAGAAAAUAAUGCCAACAUUAUUCUUUAAUAAUAUGGAAACUAGCCUAAGUGAAACAGUUUUCUUUAGAAAUAAGAAUAUAGUUAAAUAAAGACAAAAACAAUUAAAACAUACUUUUAAAAAUUCAUCCAUAUUGGUCAGUUAGUAGGAAUAAUGUAUUUGUCAUUGUCCAGAAAUUUGACUAGAGCAUGAAUGUUUUUUUGUGGCAGAGAAAAUGGAAAAACAAACAUUUUUGUAGUGUUUGAAUUAGAAAUUAGCAUCUUUAGUGAUUUACUGGUAAUCAAAGCAAUGUUGAGUCUGCAACAUUAACAGAUACCAGACAAAGGAGCUCUCUUGGUCACUUUCUUCUCACUUGAGAAAAAUAUCCAAUGCAAAAACUUAAAUGGACAGAAGUUAUUUUGGCCCAGUUCCUACAGGCUUCACUCCAUAGUUUCAAUAUUCCACAACAUAAAGUGUGGUAGAGGAAGGCUGCCAAAAACAAUAUCCUUCCAAGUCGUGCCCUAACUCACCUCUAAUUAACACCCAUCUCCUAACAGAACUCAUUAAUGAAUGAAUCCACUGAGUAUAGAACCUCCAUGUUGCAACACCUUCCAAAAGUCACACCUCUGAUACAAUUGAACAAAUAGUUGAGAUCGGUUUGCCAAUGGCUAUGAAACAUGAUGCAUAAAAUGAAUUUAUCUGAGAGAUUCAGAGAGAAUCUGGAUAAUAUUGUUUGAAUCACUAAAUCUAUUUAUUUCUGAAAUUAAUUGUUUCUUUUACUAUUUUAGCUGUGCGAGAGAAUAAAUUUCAAAUUUUGCCUAAAUAGGGUGAAAAUUCUUUUAUCAGAAUGGAAAGUAACAUUGGUUCAUAAUUUACACAAGCAGAAUAAACUAGAAUACAAAGACAUUGUAUAAGAAAACAAAACUUUAAUCACCCACAAGAUAUUGCAGGAAAAUUUUUGAGGCUCCAUAUUUUUAGAAAACAUUAUAAAAACCUUACUUACAGUUAAUGAUUUGAGGGUUCCUUGUGUUAUAUUAAUUGUUAUUAUUCAAAAACAUCAUAUUAUUUUGUGCUGAUACAUGUUUCCUUGUAAUAGAAUCAGAAUUAUUACUUCAAUUACAUGAAUUUUUGACCAAAAUUUCUCAUAUUUUAUUAUGUAGACCUUAUAUUUAGUGUCAUUUUUGUGAAUGUUUCCUGUUAAAUUAUAUCUGGAUGUCUUUCUCAAACCUGAAGUGCUUGCAGGUAGGGCUUGAUGUUUAGCACAGUUAUGGAUAUGAAUGAUCGACUUACUAAAGAGGAAAGACCCCCUCUGGGUCUGGGUGGCACCAACCUACAGGCUUGCAGCCUGGAUGAACUACAAAGGGAAAGAAGAAGGAAGUCCUGCUGCUUGCUGCCUACUCUGCCAAGGACUGUUUCUCCUCUGCUAUGACCAUCUUUCACAGCACCCUGCAUGGAGGUCAGCUGAGUAUGUACUGAAACCUCAACACACUAUAAGUUCAAAUGAACCUUUCUUUGUUUAACUUGUAGGUAUGAAAUAUUUCAUAUCAGCAACUAAGAAACAUCCUGAUUUCCACUUCUACAUUUAUUAUAAUAUCAUUUAAAUGUACUUAGAAUUAUUCCUUUCUCAAUCACAAUAGCCUUUUUAUUUUUCUUAUCUGUCUUGUUAUAGUAUAGUUUUAAUAACAAUCAAACUUCAAGAUUAAGACAAAAGAAAUGUUCCCCAUUACAAAAGAAACAUGGACUGCAUGUACAAUUUAUAGGACACCAAAGAUUUUUCUAUGGAUUCGUAAAAUUUAGAUUUCAAUAAGAAAUUAUUGUGUUAAUACAACAUGAAGGUAGCAUUACUCAUAUGUGACACAAUUAUGAGGCAAAAGAUAUUCUCAAAGAAUGUUUUUUAUUAACAAUUUUUUAACUUUGUUAAUAAUUUCCUUUCAUCUUUCUUUCUUUCUUACUUUCCCGUUCUUUCUUUAUUCUUUUUUCUUUCUUUCUUUCUCUCUCUCUCUUUCUCUUUCUCUCUCUCUUUCUUUCUUUCUUUCUCUCUCUCUCUCCCUCUCUCUUUCUUUCUUUCCUUCUUUCUUUUUUCCUUUCCAGAGAUCAGACUCAUGACCUUGCACUUCCCAGGCAGGUGCUUCCUCCACUGCCCUAAGUCCCCAGCCCAUAAUAAUGACUCCAUAAAAAUGACUCUAAACAAGUUAAAAGUAAAUAAUAUUUUUAUUAUUUUAAAUUGUAAUAUAUAUUAAUAUUUUAAAUUGUAAUAUAUAUAAAUACUUUCACUUAUUAAUAGAUACUUUUAUUAUAAAAAGAAGAAAGAAGAAGAAGAAGAAGAAGAAGAAGAAGAAGAAGAAGAAGAAAACAAGAAGAAGAAAAGAAUGCUUACAAGAAAUCAUUUAAGAAACUUUACCUAAAAAUUACACUUGUACUUUAAUGUUCUAGAAAUGAGAAAUGAAGAGGCAAUAAAAAUGACCUACUUAUUGAAAAUAAUUGAGAAUCAUAAAAAAUAUCCAUAGCCAUCCCUGAAAAAUGCUUAGAAAGCCUAAAUAUCUGAAGCAAAUAUAAAGGGUAGAAACUUCUAACUAAGUUAAUCAAAUAUCUCUAUCAGUGUACUUCCAUUUAGAGGACCUGAAAGACUUAGACAAAUAUGAGAGUGUACAGACUUUUAAAUAUACUAAUCAAAUAUUUCUGCUAUUUUAUUUCCAUUCUGUGAUGUCAUAUAAUUCCACUUGUUUUUACCUUUUGACAGUUACUAAGCUUAUAGAAGAAAUUUCACACAUUAUCCUUGUUACUGAAUCUGUACAAUGUAGUUUCAUAAGAGAAUUAAUGGCUUAAGGGGUAAUGGGUGGAAAUAGAAUGUUAUUAUUUUGUAAAUGUUAUGGUAAGUGAAUAUAAUCCUGGAUGUUGCCUUAAGUGCAGAUUUAAUAUAUUUUGAAAAUUUUAUUUAUGAAAGACAUGGGAAGCCAUUACUCAAAAUAAUAUAUGUUAAUGUAUUUAAUAAACUCAAAACCACUACCUAAGUAUCUUCUAAGUAGGGAAAUGAUUUCAAGAAUUAGAAAACAAGUUAAGCUAGUUAUAAUUGAUUCAAAAACUGAAAAAUAUACAUGAUAUUUGCCCAUGAGAGUUAUAACACUAGAGAGGAAAUGAUAACUGUCUCUAAACAAAAUUGCUAAACGUUAUAUUUCCAAAGCAAAAUAAAAAUGUUUAUGAGAGAUUCAGUGAAUAUUCUUAGAGUACAAAAUUUUGAGCUUGCCCUUAGAACAUUCCUGUGGUAACAAAAGAUGAGACAAUACACUCAAAAAGACAGAAAAAAUACAAACAUUGAACAUGUGAGGCAUUUAAAAAUAAGAUGAUGAUUUCUAUUAGAAAUGGAAAUAUAGGUUUUGAAAUUGAGUAAUCAUACAAAGAGCAGAAAUUCCCUUUAAGUAAAGAUUCAUAGGGCUUGAAUACCUUGCAGGAGGCAAACACGAAAUUUUGCUUUAUUUAGCAUAUCACACAUACUGUAUUAAUACACAUAUGUAAUAUGUAGUAAGUGUUCAAAUUUAUUUUCCAAAACCUCAGUUAACACUUUUUCCUAACUGAGUAAGCACUUUUUUCAAUUUAUACUAUCAAAAAUGCUAUAUGAUAACCUGAAAACUGAGCUGAAAAUGUAAGUGGAAAUUAAACACUGAAAAAACUUCAGGACACUAUAAUAUACAUUCUUGCAUUAUUUUUAAUUCUGUAAAAGUUACAAAACACAAGAAAUGUUUAAGCAGGAGAUUUGCAUAAUAAUUAUAAUCACAAGAAGUUAUAGGAAAAAAUAUUAGGAAAUGUAAUGUAUGAGCCAAGUAAGUUAAUUCCAUUUGUUAUAAAGAGUGAUAGGUUAGCAAAUAUGGUGAGUUUGUUUAUAGUCAUAGUUCUCAGGCCUACAUGGAAAUUGUUCAAUAACCACAUUUCAUCCCAGAAUCAUUAUAUCAAAAUUCUGAGAAAAGAAACAAACAGAAGAUUAAAACUACUAACUUAUGAAGUAAUCUAACAAAAUUGUCUACAAGUAUUCUUUACUAACAGUGAUUAGAUUGUCUUUACUUUUAAGUGCAGCAGAUAAUGUUAAUGUAUUAAUUGUCCAAUGAUCACACUUCAUCCCAGAGAAGUUGUACAAAAAUUCUGAGAAAAGAAACAAGCAAAUGUUUAAAACUACUCUCGUGAACCAAUCUAACAAAUGAAAUUAUCUACAAGUAUUCUUUACUAACACUGAUUAGCACAUCUUUUUUAUUUUUAAUGUUAAUGUGCUAAACUUCAAACAUAAUUAGUAACCCCUUGUUUUAUUAAUGUCACUUCAAAAUUUUCCUUAAUCUAUUAUAAUUUUUGUGUUCUUGUUCUCCUCACAUUGCAGGCAGAGUGAAUUCCUAUGUAUUCAUUUGGAAUAUGCUUUCAAAGUGAUAAGUCUAAAUCUUUAUUCUUCAAAAACACACAGACUAACAAGUAUUUAGAGUGAGACACAAAUCAGACAAGAGAACAGGCCCAGCUGCAGGCGUGCAUGCCAGUGCAGGCGGCACCAGCAAGAACAGACUGGGAAACGGUGCGCACUCCUGCAGGCAGGACCUGUGGCGGGAGCAGUCUGAAGCAAGAGGGAGAAUAUGAAGCAGCCGCUGUAAUCAGCCUUUUCUUCCCCGGUCCUUCCCCAGCAGGCCUUUGUCUCGGAGCCAGUCAGCAUGAACCAAAAGAGUAAGUAUUCUGCUCUUCAAAUUGCAAAUGUCAGGUGUUUCACCCCUGUGAACAGAAAAGACACUAAAACACCAAAAAUGUUUUCAAGGAGGAAAAUCAAGAUAACACUUUGCUUAAUAAUAAUAAAUAGCAAGAACUGCAAUACUAGUUGUAUAACUAAUAAUACUAGUUCUUGGAGUGUGUCAGUCUCUUCUUAACAUGCAUUUCAGUUUAUUGAUAAUGUCACCUAGUUCUUCUAUAUGGAAAACUGUUUCAUCUGAUUCUUUGCUUUUGAGUCAGCGUAACUAUCUCAGAACUCACAUUUUGUUGUUUACAAACUAUAUUCAAAUUUCUCUCUUUGAGAAACAGUGAAAUUAGAGUCAAUAGGACUGAAAGCUAUAAUUGAUGAAAUAUGAUAUUGCACUCUAAAAUUCAAUUGCAGAAACCCUAAACCCAGAGCACCUCUGAGGGGUGCUCACUCUUUUUGUGUUGCAACAUUGUUCAAGAAUACAGAGCACACAUGUAGGAAGCCAGAAAUGGGAGUUAAUUUGGCAAAACCUGCAGUCCUUGACUGCAGAAAAGGGUUUUUACAGAUUUAAAAAUGAAACCAAACUGCUCCCUAAGUCUCAAAGAAAAAAAUAAAAGAAAGCAGAGGCAGGUUUCCCUGAGAAGUCCACCUUGACCCCUCCUCAGCUGCCACAGUCCCUGCCAGCACCUACAGGGUCACUCCCCCUCCCAACUCACCUCCUUCCAGCCUCUGCACCAGGUCCAGUCAUCCGCUGACCACACUCAGCCACAGAGGUCCUCUCUCCAGAGCCUUCUGUUUCCUACACUGACCAGAUAGCAUCAUUUAAUGCUUACCCACAACAGCUGUCAGCAAUUCCUUCUGAGUUCUACAUUUUGACCUAGAAAUGAGGACUCUCAGCCCUGAUGAAUGAGUUACCUGACAUUUCCCAAAGGCCACUUUUCCGUAGAAAUAGCCCAAUCAAGAACACCUCAGACAUCAAAAAGGGACACAAAAGCUAAUCACCAGCCAUCACCCAAAAACCUGAUUAAAGCAUAUGAUGUCCAUAAGAAAAUUCAGCCUGAUAGACAGUCAUACCCUCUGGCUUCAGGCUAUUGACACCAGAAAAAUGUUCGUUCCAUAUGUAAGGCAUAAAGAAACCUGACUAUCCAGGCCCCCUCAGCCUGAACCUCUUUUCUCCAUGUUGGGGCUGGAUAAAGAGGACAAACUGAGCUCUAUCAAAUUGGGCCCCCUAGAACCUGCAGUCACUGUAGAAGUUGGGGCAAACCUGUGCCUCCUGAUAGACAAUGGAACAGAACCCUCUUACCCUCCGAAGUUCCCUCUGUCAAAAGUUACCAUUUGGGGCAGCUGGGACUCUUAUCUCUCACUCUUUAUUUCAGGCACUAACUUACAGCCUGGAAGGACACCUCACCAACAUCAGUUCCUGUCUGAGAAGAGGCUUGCUCUUCAAAUUAGAAGGGACCAUCACUUUUACACCAACUCUGUUAUGGUCUCCUGAGCAAACACUGUAGACUGUCAAACUGCUAAAAUAGGCCUCUCCUGUGUGUAAGGCCAGGUCGGAAUCGCUGAGCUAACAAUUGCUACAGCAGUUGGCCUCCAUAUGCAGUGCCUCAGACUUCUACCACCUGCUGUCUGCUGGUAUAGCUCUCAGGACCUAAAGAAUAUCUCCUGCCUUUGAUUUGCUCCUGUCAGGCAGUUCAUGUUUGUUUUAAGAUGGAAAGACCCACCCAGGCAUCAAAAAAUUAUGUGUCCUCUUUUUGAGAAACCCUCACAGAUGACCUUGUUGAUUUCCCGUCACAACAUAUUGCAGCACUUCUGACUGAUGACAUCCAAGCUGCCUGCUGGAAAGACUGAAAAGCUCUGCACAAUGUCUUGCACAAACUGACUACAAGAAAAAAUCCACAAAUUUCUUAGAGCUUCUGCAUCCUAUAAAAUGUGGGCCCUUCAGUUCACAUAAACAAUGAUGCUUACUCAGCGCUGCCUAGUCCCUUUUUUAUCUUCAUGCUCUAAUUGCUGCUGUCCUUGCAAUUAAGAAACCUGACAAGCUCAUCUUAGUCCAAGCCCUCAUUGUCCAGGUGCCUCAUGCUGUACUGGACAUCCUGAGUAAGUGUCGACCACCCAGUCCUCACAUGUGUCUACCCACCACGCUUGGCCCACCAGAUGGUGCCUAAAAUCUGACUCCCUCUGAUGGAUGCUGAGUAGACCCUGCUUAUGAAUGCAAGUGACUCGUUCAGGACAAGUUAGAGAUGCUGUUGUCACCUUGGAUGAAGUUAUUUUGGCCAAAACUACUACUGCUUCCUGCUGCUGUUUGGAAACCUGCUACCAAAAUAUUACAUGAAACUCCAUUAGAAUGUACAAUCUUAUGUCUUAUUGUAUCAUCUAAAAUAAAUUUCACAAAGUGAAUGAAACAUGAUGAAGAAAUGUUCAGAUAAAACAAAAUAAAAUAGAGUUUAAGCUGUUUCCUUCCAGUUACACGCAGCUGGGCCUCUGCUUUGUACACAAGACACACCAGACCACUUUGCUUUUCCUCUUCUCACAGGCAUUUUCACAUCUUGAAAACAUGGUUCUGUUUGCAUGCCCGCCUCCCAAUCCUUCUUACCGUUCUGGACCACAGAAAUCUAAUGGAAAUAAUCUCAUCCCUCAUUUCAGUGUUUUAUUUUUGCACACUGUGUACUGAAUUGUCUGACUGCAAAUCCAUUCUUUGCUGUGGCCUGUGUCACACCCUCUUAUUCUUGCUGAUAAGUAUUCAAUUAAUGCAUA
This is a long non-coding RNA of Cavia porcellus (domestic guinea pig), 10840 nucleotides long. RefSeq lists it as uncharacterized. The record is from RefSeq and is a predicted model, not a curated record. The transcript has 4 exons. NCBI's taxonomy places the organism in Eukaryota, Metazoa, Chordata, Mammalia, Rodentia, Caviidae.